This 194-nucleotide small RNA is filed under the name Staphylococcus aureus subsp. aureus COL. Its description in RNAcentral is "RsaG sRNA". Lineage: Bacteria; Bacillati; Bacillota; Bacilli; Caryophanales; Staphylococcaceae. The record is from RNAcentral. RNAcentral also lists the same sequence under 1 other name.
CCCCGACGGCAUGUGCGUGAAGAGAUGAAAGAUACUGCUUCUACCCUUGCAAAUAUAUCAUCUCUAUGUCUCGGGGCAGAUCAUAAUUCCCUGUUAUGAAGUAUCCUUAUUUGCCCGACUUAGGGUGACUCAAUGAAUUUACUCCUUACAAUAAAGACAUAUAGCGGUGUCAAUAUUGUAGGGAGUAUUGUUUU